GCAGCGAGAAAAGUAGCAAUAUGGCCAUAUGACACUAAAAAAAGCUAAGCAUCCUAAACAAUGAACCAAAAACUAGCACAUAAUACUAGAAAAGUAGUAUAACAGAUCAAAUAAUUCUAGGCAUGGGUGGAAACAGAACCUUUAGCACUCAGAGUUUCAUAAAAGGGGUGAAAGAUAAAAAUGCUUAUUUCAAGUAAUAGAUAUAACAAUAGUAACAACACACACGCAAG
Molecule: long non-coding RNA, 230 nt
Filed under: Solanum tuberosum (potato)
Lineage: Eukaryota; Viridiplantae; Streptophyta; Magnoliopsida; Solanales; Solanaceae
Description: long non-coding RNA (STUB_LNC003674)
Source: RNAcentral